AUGCUGAGAAGGGCAGCGGGCUCAGCAUCUCAUCCUGAGGCCAGCCUGCCUGAGGAGGCCACCUCCAUCCCCUCUGGUGGGGGCCAUGGCACACAGGGGAUGAGCAUCAGCCUGAAAAGAGCAGAGCUGGGCUCCUGCAGGCAGGGCAGGCAGCAGGCAGGCACAGAAUGGGCAGCAGCCAUCACCGGCUGCAUUCCAUUGCGUCACAAUGGGCUGCUGUGUGACAUGGAACCCAGGAGCAGCAUCAGAGCGGCUGCAGGGUGGUGGGUGCCACAUCCUGGAGGAGCUUCUGGCAGACGACUGGAAGCAUCUGGAAGGGGUGAGCUCCCACAUGGCUGCUGCCAACAAGGAGCAACCUGCGCGUGUGAUGCGUACCAAGUUAAGCUGGUGGGAGGACGGCCCCGCAACGGGCUGUGCCUCCAGGAGUCCAUAUGGCACCACCAAAGGUACGGGGAUCCACAGCCAGCACACGGCACCGCUGCCAAUGGGUCCUGGCAGCGAGUGGGCCGGAACCAGCACUCUUCCUCGGGGCUGUCUCUCUUUGGGAUCAGGGAUGACGCUGACCCUUUUCACCUGCCAUCCCGCUCUGAGGCAGUCGGGAUGCUGGGAAGGGGUAGAUGGGCUGCAACCUGCUUUACCUUUGCUCUGCAGAGCGAGUGGCCGUCUGGGACUCCGUGGCCGUCUGUGUGCAACAACAACUCCUGCUGCACAAGGUGGGUCAGCACCUGUUUCCUGCCGGUCCCCUUGGAGAGCUGGGCAGUCCCCUUGGCCCUGGGCUGUGCGAUGCAGUGACUCUUCCCCUCCCCAGAAUGCAGGUUCUUCAUAGGGAUGUCCCACUCCAAAGUCCCUAUGAGGUUCUUCAUAGGGAUAUCCCCCCCUUGAAGUCCCUAUGAGGUUCUUCAUAGGGAUGUUCCCCUCUUGAAGUCCCUAUGAGGUUCUUCAUAGGGAUGUCCCCCCCUUGAAGUCCAUAUGAGGUUCUUCAUAGGGACAUCCCCCCCAAAAGUCCCUAUGAAGUCCCAGUGGGCCUCCCACAGGUGCAGCACUGCUUGUGGCAGGAGGUGCUGGAUCUCAGCGCUGCUCCCAGCUGCUGGAAUCCUGGAUUCCAUGAAGCUGCUUCUGCUGGGGCUGCCAUGCUGCAGUUUGGAGGGUGGUGGGAAGGAGAGGGGUGGGCAGUUCCUUCCCAAAUGACUCCCAGUCCCCAGGCCAGCACCUCUCAACAGUGGCAGAUGAUACAGCAGGGCCUGAAGCACGGUCCCUGUGCAGGGAAACUCCCAGGCCCUCCUUCAGCCUUAACCCUUGGGCCCUUCCGUUCUCUUCCACUCGUAGGGGAUCCGAAUUCCUACCUUCGGUUCCUUCGACAUCGUCUUCAAAGAGAUCAGGGCUAAGGAGGGCACCCUGGUUGUGCAGUGGCCGGCGUUUCGCCUGGCCAGGAACCUUCUGGACGUCCACAGUCUGACAGGUGAUGAGGAACUCCUGACAGGUAGGAGGAGAAUUCAACCCUUGCUGGCAAACAGGAUGGCUGCCUCCACUUUCAGAAGCAAACCAGCCCUUCCAUGGAGCCCAUCCAAACACAGGGCCGUCCUGGGUGGUGAAUACAAGUAGCACUCAGAAGUAGGGGCAGGAGGGCUGCUAAGUGACCAAUUCUGACCACCUGGUGUGAUUUUACAGGCCAUAAGGAAGUGGAGCCCCUCAAGUACACCGAGGUGGCCUCAACUGCAUCGGUGUCCCGGCACAGAGUGGAGACCUGCAUAUGCAGCACCACAUCCCUCAUCUCCCACUGCCUGAGGAACGG
RNAcentral lists this long non-coding RNA (1792 nucleotides) under Coturnix japonica (Japanese quail). RNAcentral describes it as "lncRNA (ENSCJPG00005002184.1)". The record is from RNAcentral. Lineage: Eukaryota; Metazoa; Chordata; Aves; Galliformes; Phasianidae.